UUAUCCCUAUGGGGGGCAGCAGUGAGGAAUAUUGGUCAAUGGGCGCGAGCCUGAACCAGCCAAGUCGCGUGAGGGAGGACGGCCCUACGGGUUGUAAACCUCUUUUGCCGGGGAGCAACGGGCGUCACGUGUGGCGCCACUGAGAGUACCCGGAGAAAAAGCAUCGGCUAACUCCGUGCCAGCAGCCGCGGUAAUACGGAGGAUGCGAGCGUUAUCCGGAUUUAUUGGGUUUAAAGGGUGCGUAGGCGGAUUUUUACGUCAGCGGUAAAAUGUCCGGGCUCAACCCGGGCCGGCCGUUGAAACUG
RNAcentral lists this ribosomal RNA (305 nucleotides) under uncultured bacterium. RNAcentral describes it as "bacterial SSU rRNA". It matches the Rfam family "Bacterial small subunit ribosomal RNA", at positions 333 to 635 of the family's 1533-position model. The record is from RNAcentral.